RNAcentral lists this ribosomal RNA (466 nucleotides) under uncultured ammonia-oxidizing beta proteobacterium. RNAcentral's name for it is "bacterial SSU rRNA". It matches the Rfam family "Bacterial small subunit ribosomal RNA", at positions 198 to 645 of the family's 1533-position model. The record is from RNAcentral. Lineage: Bacteria; Pseudomonadati; Pseudomonadota; Betaproteobacteria.
GGAGGAAAGCAGGGGAUCGCAAGACCUUGCGCUUUUGGAGUGGCCGAUGCCUGAUUAGCUAGUUGGUGGGGUAAGAGCCUACCAAGGCGACGAUCAGUAGUUGGUCUGAGAGGACGACCAGCCACACUGGGACUGAGACACGGCCCAGACUCCUACGGGAGGCAGCAGUGGGGAAUUUUGGACAAUGGGCGAAAGCCUGAUCCAGCAAUGCCGCGUGAGUGAAGAAGGCCUUCGGGUUGUAAAGCUCUUUCAGUCGAGAAGAAAAGGUCGCGACUAAUAAUCGCGACUCAUGACGGUAUCGACAGAAGAAGCACCGGCUAACUACGUGCCAGCAGCCGCGGUAAUACGUAGGGUGCGAGCGUUAAUCGGAAUUACUGGGCGUAAAGGGUGCGCAGGCGGCUUUGUAAGUCAGAUGUGAAAUCCCCGGGCUUAACCUGGGAAUUGCGUUUGAAACUACAAAGCUAGA